AAGAAGAAGAAGAAGAUGAUGAUGAUGAUGCAUCGUUAUGAUUUACGACGAGAAGAUUUGUUUGUGUUUCCGGGUUCAAAGUGAUCAUUUUGAUGAGUUUUUCGCCCCUAAGUUGGACAAACAUGGUUAUCAAGCUCUCUACAAGAAGAAGACAACAGAGGUUUACACCGGGACUUAUGCUAUCGAUGGUUGUGCAACAUUUUUCCGAAGGGACAGAUUUUCCCAUGUGAAGAAAUACGAGGU
This is a long non-coding RNA of Papaver somniferum (opium poppy), 243 nucleotides long. RefSeq lists it as uncharacterized. Lineage: Eukaryota; Viridiplantae; Streptophyta; Magnoliopsida; Ranunculales; Papaveraceae. The transcript has 3 exons. The record is from RefSeq and is a predicted model, not a curated record.